RNAcentral lists this ribosomal RNA (468 nucleotides) under uncultured bacterium. Its description in RNAcentral is "partial 16S ribosomal RNA". It matches the Rfam family "Bacterial small subunit ribosomal RNA", at positions 28 to 507 of the family's 1533-position model. The record is from RNAcentral.
GACGAACGCUGGCGGCGUGCUUAACACAUGCAAGUCGAACGGAAAGGCCCUGCUUUUGUGGGGUGCUCGAGUGGCGAACGGGUGAGUAACACGUGAGUAACCUGCCCUUGACUUUGGGAUAACUUCAGGAAACUGGGGCUAAUACCGGAUAGGAGCUCCUGCUGCAUGGUGGGGGUGGGAAAGUUUCGGCGGUUGGGGAUGGACUCGCGGCUUAUCAGCUUGUUGGUGGGGUAGUGGCUUACCAAGGCUUUGACGGGUAGCCGGCCUGAGAGGGUGACCGGCCACAUUGGGACUGAGAUACGGCCCAGACUCCUACGGGAGGCAGCAGUGGGGAAUAUUGCACAAUGGGCGGAAGCCUGAUGCAGCAACGCCGCGUGCGGGAUGACGGCCUUCGGGUUGUAAACCGCUUUCGCCUGUGACGAAGCGUGAGUGACGGUAAUGGGUAAAGAAGCACCGGCUAACUACGUA